AUUAAAGAGUUCUAUAACUCCCAAACCCAUGUGAACAUACCUAGCGUUGCCUCGGCAGGUCGCACCUACCUUGUAGCACCCUACCCUGUAGGGCCUACCCGGGAGGUGCGGGUAAGCCUGCCGGCGGCCCACCAAACUCUGUUUGAUAUUGAAUUCUGAACCUAUAACUAAAUAAGUUAAAACUUUCAACAACGGAUCUCUUGGUUCUGGCAUCGAUGAAGAACGCAGCGAAAUGCGAUAAGUAAUGUGAAUUGCAGAAUUCAGUGAAUCAUCGAAUCUUUGAACGCAUAUUGCGCCCAUUAGUAUUCUAGUGGGCAGGACCGUUCGAGCGUCAUUUCAACCCUUAAGCCUUCGUUGCUUAGUGUUGGGAGCCUACGGCAACGUAGCUCCUCAAAGUUAGUGGCGGAGUUAGUUCACACUCUAGACGUAGUAAUUUUUUAUCUCGCCUAUUAGUUGGACUAAUCCCCUGCCGUAAAACCCCCAAUUUAUCAAGGUUGACCUCGAAUCGGUUCAGACAAACUCGCUAAAUUGAAGCAUCUUAGUCAGCGAAGGAAAAGAAACCAACAGGGAUUGCCCUAGUAACGGCGAGUGAAGCGGCAACAGCUCAAAUUUGAAAUCUGG
RNAcentral lists this ribosomal RNA (621 nucleotides) under fungal endophyte. RNAcentral's name for it is "eukaryotic LSU rRNA". The stretch from base 181 to 334 matches the Rfam family "5.8S ribosomal RNA". The record is from RNAcentral. Lineage: Eukaryota; Fungi.